AUUGAACGCUGGCGGCAUGCCUUACACAUGCAAGUCGAACGGUAACAGGUCUUCGGAUGCUGACGAGUGGCGAACGGGUGAGUAAUACAUCGGAACGUGCCCGAUCGUGGGGGAUAACGGAGCGAAAGCUUUGCUAAUACCGCAUACGAUCUACGGUUGAAAGCAGGGGACCGCAAGGCCUUGCGCGGACGGAGCGGCCGAUGGCAGAUUAGGUAGUUGGUGGGAUAAAAGCUUACCAAGCCGACGAUCUGUAGCUGGUCUGAGAGGACGACCAGCCACACUGGGACUGAGACACGGCCCAGACUCCUACGGGAGGCAGCAGUGGGGAAUUUUGGACAAUGGGCGAAAGCCUGAUCCAGCCAUGCCGCGUGCAGGAUGAAGGCCUUCGGGUUGUAAACUGCUUUUGUACGGAACGAAAAGACUCUUUCUAAUAAAGAGGGUCCAUGACGGUACCGUAAGAAUAAGCACCGGCUAACUACGUG
Molecule: ribosomal RNA, 482 nt
Filed under: uncultured bacterium
Lineage: Bacteria
Description: partial 16S ribosomal RNA
Rfam family: Bacterial small subunit ribosomal RNA
Source: RNAcentral